AUUUGGGGGGCUAAGACUUAAAGUGCUCACAAUUUGCUUUUUGGCUUUUUCUCUUUCCUUUAUUGUGUUAUAUAUUUUUUGGGUGCCUGUAAGAAGUUUACAAAGUGAA
Molecule: long non-coding RNA, 109 nt
Organism: Etheostoma cragini (Arkansas darter)
Lineage: Eukaryota; Metazoa; Chordata; Actinopteri; Perciformes; Percidae
Exons: 3
Source: RefSeq, a predicted model, not a curated record